GAUGAACGCUGGCGGCGUGCCUAAUACAUGCAAGUCGAGCGAAAACAGGAGGAGCUUUCUUGUCUGACGUUAGCGGCGGAGGGGGGAGUAACAUGUGGAUAACACACCUAGAUGACUGGGAUAACUUAGGGAAACCGGAGCUAAUACCGGCUAAACGAUGCAACAGCAUGGUGCAGUAGUUAAAGACGGCUUUGCUUUGACUUAUAGAUGGAUCCGUGCGGCAUUAGCUAGUUGGUAAGGUAACGGCUUACCAAGGCCACGAUGCGUAGCCGAUCUGAGAGGGUGAUCGGCCACACUGGAACUGAGACACGGUCCAGACUCCUACGGGAGGCAGCAGUAGGGAAUCUUCCGCAAUGGGCGAAAGCCUGACGGAGCAACGCCGCGUGUGUGAUGAAGGUCUUCGGAUCGUAAAGCACUGUUAUUGGGGAAGAACAAAUGUGUAUGUAACUAUGCACGUAUUGACGGUACCUGAUCAGAAAGCAACGGCUAACUACGUG
This 497-nucleotide ribosomal RNA is filed under the name uncultured bacterium. RNAcentral describes it as "partial 16S ribosomal RNA". It matches the Rfam family "Bacterial small subunit ribosomal RNA", at positions 28 to 507 of the family's 1533-position model. The record is from RNAcentral.